This 429-nucleotide ribosomal RNA is filed under the name Chloroflexota bacterium. Its description in RNAcentral is "Chloroflexi bacterium partial 16S ribosomal RNA". It matches the Rfam family "Bacterial small subunit ribosomal RNA", at positions 355 to 776 of the family's 1533-position model. The record is from RNAcentral. Lineage: Bacteria; Bacillati; Chloroflexota.
UGGGGAAUAUUGCACAAUGGGCGCAAGCCUGAUGCAGCCAUGCCGCGUGUGUGAAGAAGGCCUUCGGGUUGUAAAGCACUUUCAGCGGGGAGGAAGGCGGUGAGGUUAAUAACCUCAUCGAUUGACGUUACCCGCAGAAGAAGCACCGGCUAACUCCGUGCCAGCAGCCGCGGUAAUACGGAGGGUGCAAGCGUUAAUCGGAAUUACUGGGCGUAAAGCGCACGCAGGCGGUCUGUCAAGUCGGAUGUGAAAUCCUCGGGCUCAACCUGGGAACUGCAUCUGAUACUGGCAAGCUUGAGUCUCGUAGAGGGGGGUAGAAUUCCAGGUGUAGCGGUGAAAUGCGUAGAGAUCUGGAGGAAUACCGGUGGCGAAGGCGGCCCCCUGGACGAAGACUGACGCUCAGGUGCGAAAGCGUGGGGAGCAAACAGG